GCAGGCCUAACACAUGCAAGUCGAGCGCACCUUCGGGUGAGCGGCGGACGGGUGAGUAACGCGUGGGAAUAUGCCCAGAUCUGCGGAAUAGCCUCUGGAAACGGAGAGUAAUACCGCAUACGCCCUUCGGGGGAAAGAUUUAUCGGAUUUGGAUUAGCCCGCGUUGGAUUAGGUAGUUGGUGGGGUAAUGGCCUACCAAGCCGACGAUCCAUAGCUGGUUUGAGAGGAUGAUCAGCCACACUGGGACUGAGACACGGCCCAGACUCCUACGGGAGGCAGCAGUGGGGAAUCUUAGACAAUGGGGGAAACCCUGAUCUAGCCAUGCCGCGUGAGUGACGAAGGCCCUAGGGUCGUAAAGCUCUUUCGCCAGGGAAGAUAAUGACGGUACCUGGUAAAGAAACCCCGGCUAACUCCGUGCCAGCAGCCGCGGUAAUACGGAGGGGGUUAGCGUUGUUCGGAAUUACUGGGCGUAAAGCGCGCGUAGGCGGACUUUUAAGUUAGAGGUGAAAUCCCGGGGCUCAACCCCGGAACUGCCUUUAAUACUGGAAGUCUUGAGUUCGAGAGAGGUGAGUGGAAUUCCGAGUGUAGAGGUGAAAUUCGUAGAUAUUCGGAGGAACACCAGUGGCGAAGGCGGCUCACUGGCUCGAUAC
This 650-nucleotide ribosomal RNA is filed under the name uncultured bacterium. RNAcentral's name for it is "bacterial SSU rRNA". It matches the Rfam family "Bacterial small subunit ribosomal RNA", at positions 42 to 740 of the family's 1533-position model. The record is from RNAcentral.